Molecule: long non-coding RNA, 327 nt
Organism: Mauremys reevesii (Reeves's turtle)
Lineage: Eukaryota; Metazoa; Chordata; Testudines; Geoemydidae
Exons: 5
Source: RefSeq, a predicted model, not a curated record
GGAGACCCCACUAUCCAGUUGAAAUUUUGCAGGACAUUUACCGAUUAACAUUGUCACAUGAAAGAAGGUUUGAAUCUUAUUUUGGAGUUUUGCAAAUGAGGAAACUAGAGACCCAUAAGAAAAAAUUUCCAGUAUACACAGCUGGGGAGUAGCUCCCAGAGUCACGGUGGAUGAUGGGAUGGGUCAAGAGCUCAAACCAGAUACCUGAAUGAGUUGCUGGAAACAUUCUUAUCAGUAAAAUAUUCAUAAAGGAUUGUAUAUUUGUGAGCCACAAAAUGUUUGGCAGAGGCCUAGAGGAAGGAAGGAAGGAAGGACAGAGAAAGAAAA